Molecule: ribosomal RNA, 498 nt
Filed under: uncultured bacterium
Lineage: Bacteria
Description: bacterial SSU rRNA
Rfam family: Bacterial small subunit ribosomal RNA
Source: RNAcentral
UGUAGACACGUAGUUUGAUCAGUGGCGUACAGGACGAACGCUGGCGGCGCGCCUAACACAUGCAAGUCGAACGAGCGAAGAGGAGCUUGCUUCUCUGAGCGAGUGGCGAACGGGUGAGUAACGCGUGAGGAACCUGCCUCAAAGAGGGGGACAACAGUUGGAAACGACUGCUAAUACCGCAUAAGCCCACGGGUCGGCAUCGACCAGAGGGAAAAGGAGCAAUCCGCUUUGAGAUGGCCUCGCGUCCGAUUAGCUAGUUGGUGAGGUAAUGGCCCACCAAGGCGACGAUCGGUAGCCGGACUGAGAGGUUGAACGGCCACAUUGGGACUGAGACACGGCCCAGACUCCUACGGGAGGCAGCAGUGGGGAAUAUUGCACAAUGGGGGAAACCCUGAUGCAGCGACGCCGCGUGGAGGAAGAAGGUCUUCGGAUUGUAAACUCCUGUUGUUGAGGAAGAUAAUGACGGUACUCAACAAGGAAGUGACGGCUAACUACGUG